RNAcentral lists this RNase P RNA (417 nucleotides) under Antrihabitans cavernicola. RNAcentral describes it as "Spelaeibacter cavernicola Bacterial RNase P class A". It matches the Rfam family "Bacterial RNase P class A". From Rfam's summary of the family: Ribonuclease P (RNase P) is a ubiquitous endoribonuclease, found in archaea, bacteria and eukarya as well as chloroplasts and mitochondria. Its best characterised activity is the generation of mature 5'-ends of tRNAs by cleaving the 5'-leader elements of precursor-tRNAs. Cellular RNase Ps are ribonucleoproteins. The record is from Rfam by way of RNAcentral. Lineage: Bacteria; Bacillati; Actinomycetota; Actinomycetes; Mycobacteriales; Nocardiaceae.
CGAGUUGGCUGGACGGCCGCGGCGGCGGGAACCGGCACCUGGUGUCCAGGCCCGCCUUCGAGGAAAGUCCGGACUCCACAGAGCAGGGCGGUUGCUAACGGCAACCCGAGGUGACUCGCGGGACAGUGCCACAGAAAACAGACCGCCAUCGCGCAAGCGGUGGUCAGGGUGAAACGGUGCGGUAAGAGCGCACCAGCGCCCCGGGUGACCGGGGCGGCUAGGUAAACCCCGCCCGGAGCAAGGUUGAAGGUUGCACCCGGAUUCGUCCAGGUGUGGCUGCGCAGAUGUUCGAGGGCUGCUCGCCCGAGUCUGCGGGUGAACCGCUCGAGGUACCCGGCAACGGUGUGCCCAGAUGGAUGGUCGUCACCCGACGCGAUGCGGCGGGUACAGGAUCCGGCUUACACGCCAACUCGUCCG